AUGAAUCCGUCGUCGCCUUUAUCUUUUAGUCCUUUGAAGAGCCUUGAGAAUGGAAAUCAUGAGAGAUUUUUCCAUGGGGGAAGUUCUUUUUACGAGACGUUUAUUCAGAUUGAUUUCUCGGCACCCCGCGGGGCGGGCAACGGGCGGGGCUUCCAGUGCACCUUCUGCGCAGUGGAGCCGCGGAGGCUCAGCUGGACAGUGGUCGGGUCGUGGGGCUGGAGGGCGGGAGCGGGGGAAGGGAAAAGCAAAAGCGGGGAAAGAAGCCGGAGAGCGGUGGACCAGACAUCUAGACCUGAAAGGCUCGUGCGGAGGCAGAGGCGGGAUCUUCCGGAGGUAAUAUGUUUAAUUCAGGAAUUGCGAAAAGCCUUGCAGCAGCUACAAGAAGAAUUGCAGAAUAAGAGCCAACAGCUUCGUGCCUGGGAGGCUGAAAAAUACAAUGAGAUUCGAACCCAGGAACAAAACAUCCAGCACCUAAACCAUAGUCUGAGUCACAAGGAGCAGUUGCUUCAGGAAUUUCGGGAGCUCCUACGGUAUCGAGAUAACUCAGACAAAACCCUUGAAGCAAAUGAAACGUUGCUUGAGAAACUUCGCCAGCGAAUACAUGAUAAAGCUGUUGCUCUGGAGGUAUGUAUCAUCAUUUCGCCCACUAUGCUAUGGAUUAUUCUAUCUACAUAGGUAUUAUAGAAAUUUGUGUUUACUUAAAUUUGCUGGUUUUGGAUUUGGUUUUCUAUUCUGCCAUCGUGUUAAAUAACAGCGAUCAGGAUCGCUUAUUGAACAGAUGGUAUGUGAGCACUUGGAAAGUGGUGAGCAUUAGAAACCAGAAUUUCUCUAAGAGCAAGGUAGGACAGAUUAAAUAAGUGGAAUGAAGGGUUUUGCAAAGACAGAGAUGUACCAUUCUCCAGGCUGCGGGGAUGUUGAGCCAGCAUGCCUUCCACCACACAUAGGCCUUCCUUCCUGCUCCUUAGCUCUGUU
RNAcentral lists this long non-coding RNA (972 nucleotides) under Pan troglodytes (chimpanzee). Its description in RNAcentral is "lncRNA (ENSPTRG00000053374.1)". The record is from RNAcentral. Lineage: Eukaryota; Metazoa; Chordata; Mammalia; Primates; Hominidae.